Long non-coding RNA from Oxyura jamaicensis (ruddy duck), 416 nucleotides. RefSeq lists it as uncharacterized. The record is from RefSeq and is a predicted model, not a curated record. Lineage: Eukaryota; Metazoa; Chordata; Aves; Anseriformes; Anatidae. The transcript has 3 exons.
GAUAUGUCAACACAGUUGCUGACUUGCUCCUUGGAAAAAUUUGUUCUAUAUUCAGUUGUUUACCAACACUGUCUCCAAAAAAAGUCUCUACAAAUACAAUCCACAAGAGAGAAGAGUUCAUAAUAUCAUUGCUGAGCUCUUUCUUUUCUAGGAUUGAAAGGCAGCAACUUUUCAAAAAGGUUAAAUGCCCAACAAUACAAGAGGAAACUUUUAAAUGUCUGGUUUUUUUCCCCCCAUCCAAUGAAAAUAUAGAAGCAGAGGUGGGAGUGGGUGCCACGUGGUGCCCAUCUGCCUUUUGCAGGUAGCUGCUCCUCACACCAUCAACUUUUUAAGAAUGGCACCCAGCUCACAGCACAUCUGGUCAAGAGGGCUGCUCACAGCCAUGACUUACAGGCAACCUUGAGUUCACUGUGAUA